CAUUAGAUAACCUAAUAUAAGGUGUAAGAUUUUUAAUCUUAUUAUGUAUAUAAUUAUACUUUAAUGG
RNAcentral lists this transfer RNA (67 nucleotides) under Rhynchothorax sp. JZ-2022. Its description in RNAcentral is "tRNA-Lys". It matches the Rfam family "tRNA". From Rfam's summary of the family: Transfer RNA (tRNA) molecules are approximately 80 nucleotides in length. Their secondary structure includes four short double-helical elements and three loops (D, anti-codon, and T loops). Further hydrogen bonds mediate the characteristic L-shaped molecular structure. tRNAs have two regions of fundamental functional importance: the anti-codon, which is responsible for specific mRNA codon recognition, and the 3' end, to which the tRNAs corresponding amino acid is attached (by aminoacyl-tRNA synthetases). tRNAs cope with the degeneracy of the genetic code in two manners: having more than one tRNA (with a specific anti-codon) for a particular amino acid; and 'wobble' base-pairing, i.e. permitting non-standard base-pairing at the 3rd anti-codon position. Lineage: Eukaryota; Metazoa; Arthropoda; Pycnogonida; Pantopoda; Tanystylidae. The record is from RNAcentral.